AUUGAACGCUGGCGGCAUGCCUUACACAUGCAAGUCGAACGGUAACAGGUCUUCGGAUGCUGACGAGUGGCGAACGGGUGAGUAAUACAUCUGAACGUGCCUAGUAGUGGGGGAUAACUACUCGAAAGAGUGGCUAAUACCGCAUGAGAUCUACGGAUGAAAGCAGGGGAUCGCAAGACCUUGUGCUACCAGAGCGGCCGAUGGCAGAUUAGGUAGUUGGUGGGAUAAAAGCUUACCAAGCCGACGAUCUGUAGCUGGUCUGAGAGGACGAUCACCCACACUGGGACUGAGACACGGCCCAGACUCCUACGGGAGGCAGCAGUGGGGAAUUUUGGACAAGGGGCGCAAGCCUGAUCCAGCAAUGCCGCGUGCAGGAUGAAGGCCUUCGGGUUGUAAACUGCUUUUGUACGGAACGAAAAGCCCUGGGUUAAUACCCUGGGGUCAUGACGGUACCGUAAGAAUAAGCACCGGCUAACUACGUGCCAGCCGCCGCGGUAA
Molecule: ribosomal RNA, 498 nt
Filed under: uncultured bacterium
Lineage: Bacteria
Description: partial 16S ribosomal RNA
Rfam family: Bacterial small subunit ribosomal RNA
Source: RNAcentral